AUCGCUUCUCGGCCUUUUGGCUAAGAUCAAGUGUAGUAAAACAUACACACACAUAAAAUUAAAAUAGAUCUAAACAAAAUUUUAAAGAUACAUAAAGAGCCACUUCAU
This 108-nucleotide small nuclear RNA is filed under the name Mus musculus (house mouse). Its description in RNAcentral is "U2 spliceosomal RNA". It matches the Rfam family "U2 spliceosomal RNA". From Rfam's summary of the family: U2 is a small nuclear RNA (snRNA) component of the spliceosome (involved in pre-mRNA splicing). Complementary binding between U2 snRNA (in an area lying towards the 5' end but 3' to hairpin I) and the branchpoint sequence (BPS) of the intron results the bulging out of an unpaired adenosine, on the BPS, which initiates a nucleophilic attack at the intronic 5' splice site, thus starting the first of two transesterification reactions that mediate splicing. The record is from Rfam by way of RNAcentral. Lineage: Eukaryota; Metazoa; Chordata; Mammalia; Rodentia; Muridae.